ACUUACACAGAUGUUUUGCGUAUUUGCUUUACUCUAAGAGCUAUUUUUAAAAAAUGCUUUUCACAGGUCCAAAAAAAAAUGAAUCCACUGAUGAAACUCUGAUGAUCCUUCAUUCAGAGAACCCACCAGGAGACCCUGAUGUUAUAGCCUCUUCUGUACACUGUGUCUGGCUUGUGGUGUCCUCUCGACAUGAUGAUAAAGAAAGAGAAGUUGACAGACCUGUGCUAAAUACAAAGAACAGACAAACCAGGGUCAGUAAGCAAAAAGAAUGAAUGAACUCCGUGGUAGACUGCUGUAUAUUUGGUGAUGCUUUCUUGGGAAGCACAAUGAGAAGACACCGGAGGUGAGGUCAGACUGUCAGACCCUUAUUUGUCCAACAAUGGGUAAAUCACAGUGCUGCAAGCAAGAUAAGCAUGGGAAUGAGAAGCAUCAUUAAUGCGCCACCCAAGAUGUUCUAUCCAAAUGUAGGACAGAGGAGAUCAGAUUUCAGCAAUUUGCCAACCUUGAGUUCUUUAAGAAAUCCCAAGUGCUCAACAGAGGCAAUGUCUCAAGUGACUGCUCUCUGUGGUGCUGUGCACCGUUACAUGUACAUGUGAACCGAAGUUCCUCUAUUUAUUUUCUGCCUUUAUUCUAUGGUGUCACAUGUCAGCAGCUAUCUUGUGACUGAAGAAACAUCUUCAGAUUUUGAGAGGGAUUUUCAAGGCGGAAAGAUUCAUCAAAUGAUUCAGCAAGACAUCUUCAUCCACACCAAAGUUUGAGGCUGUAUUCGGCAAUGAAGGCUUCAACUGAUGUGAAUGUGCUACCUGCUCCCGUCUAAACAGACUACGCUGAGGACUUCUGGUUAUUCCCCCCACCAAAAGAAAGUGUGGCAGGUGUUUGCUAAGAGGUUAUUUAAAAUAUAUUGCAAUCUAUGAUGUGAUUGCAUUUUUUAUUUUAUAGAGCAACCAGUCAGGGCAAAAAAAAUGAAUGGGUUUUCUGUUCAGAGACAACACCCUUGGGAUCACUGUGGCAAGAACUGUAUAAGUGCAAUAAAGGAUCAUCUCUGAAGAAAUUAUAUCUGAAAAGGUGAAGGAGUGAACAGGAAAAAUAAAGAGGCUGUCUGACUAAUCACCAGGCCCACGUCUACAGGGGUACAAAAGGAUGCUGAGCAAUCUCAUUUAAAAGUGUUUGUAUGUAAAAUAAUGACAGAUAAAAUGGAAGAGUAUUGUUUGCACCCCUUUGAAACUCGGAUGCACCCUGAGUCAGUUAGGUCCCACACCUGAACCAAACACCACAUCACACAGGUUCUACAACAACCCCACGGGCUCUCCAUCUGACUGAAACCUCCUCAUUCACACAGUUUAGACAAAGCACCUUCGCCAUUGCUCCUCCUACUCUCUCCCCCUCCAUUUUAGAAAUUUGGACACACUUAUCACCUUUAAAAGACUGCCCCCACCUCCUCGACACUGCCUUUGAUGCACACUUCUCUUUGAAAGGAAUAUUCUGACUUUGUUUAAAGUUGUCAACUAGUAAACAAA
Boleophthalmus pectinirostris (great blue-spotted mudskipper) is the source of this 1517-nucleotide long non-coding RNA. RefSeq lists it as uncharacterized. NCBI's taxonomy places the organism in Eukaryota, Metazoa, Chordata, Actinopteri, Gobiiformes, Gobiidae. The transcript has 6 exons. The record is from RefSeq and is a predicted model, not a curated record.